This 2633-nucleotide long non-coding RNA is filed under the name Triticum aestivum (bread wheat). Its description in RNAcentral is "long non-coding RNA (TAES_LNC004058)". The record is from RNAcentral. Lineage: Eukaryota; Viridiplantae; Streptophyta; Magnoliopsida; Poales; Poaceae.
GCGACCGUAGGCAGACAACUCAAAUACAUUGUCGAAGAACUGCAAAAGUAUACAUCGUAGACUUUAGUUGUACAUAGGACAUGUGCAAACACAUGCAACAUGCCAUCUACAUGACCAGUGCGAUGGUCCAUGUAACCAUUAUACAAAACAGCAAGCGACUGUUACACACGGUAACUUCAAAGUGUCUGAUACAAACCACACUUAAGAACGCUACAUAACUGAUUAUAAUGAUAGACGCGGCAUCAAACGGCUACUGCAUUGCCCUGCUUGAUCCAAUCGAACUUAAUCCCUAUAAGUGCCAAAGACAAGUCUUUGAUCAGAGCAUAUCAAAGUAUUGAAGAUACAUUAUGGUUUUUAAAUUACCUUUUUACUCUUCGCAGUCGCGCUUGCGUUUUCCAAAUAAAUCUUUGCGAACAUUGCACAUGGCACGUUUCCCAACUUGCUUGCUGUUCAAUAGUUCAAAGCAUGGUUCACUGUCUUGAUAUGCGAGACAGUUAGAUCACAAUCCAUGUAAAGUUUGUUUAGUACCUUGACAUGUCUAACUUCGGAGGAGGGGUCAUCUGUUGUUCAUAUGUGCUGGGAGAAGGCGUUGUCUGCUGUUUGGUUGUGCUCUGCGCAGUUUAAGAAGAUAAUAAUAUCAGCAGGAAAUCAUCGAUGAUCAACGCUUAAAAAAGAAAUAAGAUGCGAGUCCAUGAGUGAUAGUCAAGUAAGCAACACACACCAUGUUAUCGAGCAUGUGCAUGCCACUUGCUGAUUAGUGGAUAUGAACUUGUGAAGAGAAGCAAGGGUAUUACUAAUGGCAGUGGGCAGGUAUUGUUGGUAUCGUCACAGUCGCUGGCCAUGUCGAUCUCGUUAUUGCCAUUUCCAGUUUCUUGGGACAUCUUGGACAUUUUUUUAAUUCGCGUGUCUAAUCUUCAAAUAUCAUUGCCCACGAGGAAGUCGCUAGCAACUUGUGGUGACAAGCCUUUAACUCAUGAUAGUUUGCAUCAUCAACAUAUAUUAUCGACCUAUCAUUUAAGAAAGCCAGUACAACUGAGCUGGCUGAUUCUAUGGCCAACUCCUUUGUUCCAGCAUACCCCCCAUGAAACACCUUUGGCUCCGCCGCACGCAUAUUGUUAUGAGCACUCAAAUGCAGAUAAAUGGAUGCAUACAACUCCCCAUCUUCAGCAUCAGUUACCUUGAUGCUUUCUACAACAAGCCCAAGCCUCUUUAGAGCCAGAUCCAAAAUAUAUUGCCGGCAUAUGGUCACACAGCGUGGAGUGAGCUAUUUAAGAAGGCAGAUCAUAAAAAAAAGUAUCAGCCAUGUCUCAAAUGUAGAGAGGACCUACAUAAAAAAAUGAACGGAUCAUCAACAAUUGGGCUAACCAGAGGUAAGAACGGAACGUGUAGCUCAUCGUCUGAUACAUAGAAGUCGUCCAUUGCCUUCUCGCUCCGUACUGUUUCCAUAAAUCAAAUUUCAUUGUCGUUAAACAACAGAAAAUGAAAGAGCAGUUUUAGAUGGGGCCUCAAAAUAGUAGCAGACACUGAGGAUCAUGUGGCUGUUAAACAUAGCUCGGCUACCUCCGUAUAAGCACUGAUAUAUUCGACUGUGGAUUUUCUGUAAGUAAGCUAACUAAUUUCAGAGCGUUUAUCUGAGUCACACACCUAAAUACAGAUUGCGGUGGUUCCUCUCCUAGCAUUUAUAAUGUUGGCGAUUUGCCUUCUUAGACCAUAUAGAAAAUGUCGAGGAGCAAGUAAGUUUUCUGUUAUACUAUAAAUGCACAUGCCAAUGUUUUUUAAAGUGAGCACAUCGUCACCUCUUGUUUCUUUUGUCCGUGUACAUCCGGCAGAUUAUCUGGUAAUAAGAUGAUAUAAUGCAUUGUUUCACUCAUCAUGUGCUUGGUGUGGGUAAAUCAGUAUAAAACACGUACAUGCCAGGGUUUGUAUACACGUAUGUGUGUGUCUGCUCAGAGAAGAGGAUGUGUUUGUGUGCAUCGCUCGUCAACUGUUUCCCUAUCUGAAACCUAACACUAAAUAAAGCAGCAGGUAGCGCAGAUAAAUUCAGAUGAAUUUCAGACCAAACCUCAUUUGAUCUUGAUAGAAUGGAUUACAAACCAGACAAAUCAUAUACCUAUGCUAUAAUCCUCGGAUAGUAUGUCGACUACAUGAUAUACUGCGGUAACCUGAAGAAUACUAUACAUCUAGAAGACAAAUAACAAGGAAAGGGAAAGGGAGACCUUGUAUCGAAGGAGCUCGACACCUGGGCUCUGAAUCGCGGCGAACGGAGGUUGGGGAAAAGCACGGGACGGAGGCGGCGGUCAAGGGAGACGAAUGGAGAGAGCCGGGACUGGUGGCAUUGGGCAAGACUGAUUUUAGGGUUACCCUAUAUUGUUGGGAAACCUAAGUUGGUGGGCUUCGACCCAGAUGCUGACAAGCCCGAUUGAGUAGCCAUGGAGAGAAAACGGGCCUAUUUGAAACGGCUGGAACUUGAAAAGGAGGGGAAAGAAGGAGAAAAGGAAAGCCAAUAUUCUGUACAUAUUUAUUUACGGACCUGGAACAUUAGCCCUAGAUGCAAGCAUAUUCAAUGGUAAAAAUAUUGUGUUUGUAAGAUGUCUUGAACUCAAAACUACGUCAAAAUGUUCAAAAGAAAAAAC